Molecule: ribosomal RNA, 371 nt
Filed under: Discoglossus galganoi (Iberian painted frog)
Lineage: Eukaryota; Metazoa; Chordata; Amphibia; Anura; Alytidae
Description: partial 12S ribosomal RNA
Rfam family: Bacterial small subunit ribosomal RNA
Source: RNAcentral
CAUUGACUACUUACACGAACAAUCCGCCAGGGAACUACGAGCCUCAGCUUAAAACCCAAAGGACUUGGCGGUGCCCUAAACCCACCUAGAGGAGCCUGUUCUAUAAUCGAUAACCCCCGCUUAACCUCACCACUUCUUGCCAAAACCGCCUAUAUACCACCGUCGCCAGCCCACCCCGUGAGGGAGACACAGUAGGCAGAAUGGCCCCCGCCAAAACGUCAGGUCAAGGUGUAGCGUAUGAAGUGGAAAGAAAUGGGCUACAUUUUCUGACUCAGAACACACGGAAGGUCACUAUGAAACCUGACCUAAAGGAGGAUUUAGUAGUAAAGAAAAACAAGAGAGUUCUCUUUAACUCGGCCCUGGGGCGCGCA